This 448-nucleotide ribosomal RNA is filed under the name uncultured bacterium. RNAcentral describes it as "partial 16S ribosomal RNA". It matches the Rfam family "Bacterial small subunit ribosomal RNA", at positions 330 to 794 of the family's 1533-position model. The record is from RNAcentral.
ACCAGACUCCUACGGGAGGCAGCAGUGGGGAAUAUUGCACAAUGGGGGAAACCCUGAUGCAGCAACGCCGCGUGAGUGAGGAAGUAUUUCGGUAUGUAAAGCUCUAUCAGCAGGGAGUAGAAAAGAAGGUACCUGAAAAAGAAGCCCCGGCUAACUACGUGCCGGCAGCCGCGGUAAUACGUAGGGGGCAAGCGUUAUCCGGAUUUACUGGGUGUAAAGGGGGCGCAGACGGCAGCGCAAGCCAGGAGUGAAAGCCCGGGGCCCAACCCCGGGACUGCUCUUGGAACUGCGCGGCUGGAGUGCAGGAGGGGCAGGCGGAAUUCCUGGUGUAGCGGUGAAAUGCGUAGAUAUCAGGAGGAACACCGGCGGCGAAGGCGGCCUGCUGGACCGUGACUGACGUUGAGGCUCGAGAGCGUGGGGAGCAAACAGGAUUAGAUACCCCUGUAAC